CAAUAGCGUAUAUUAAAGUUGUUGCAGUUAAAAAGCUCGUAGUUGGAUUUCUGGUGGGAGCGAUCGGUCUGGCGCUUAGCGCGAGUACUUGCAUCGUCUCCGGCCAUCCUUGGGAAGAGUCUGUCUGGCAUUAGGUUGUCGGGCAGAGGAUCCUCAUCGUUUACUGUGAAAAAAUUAGAGUGUUCAAAGCAGGCUUAUGCCGUUGAAUAUAUUAGCAUGGAAUAAUAAGAUAGGACUUUGGUACUAUUUUGUUGGUUUGCGCACCAAAGUAAUGAUUAAUAGGGACAGUUGGGGGUAUUCGUAUUCCGUUGUCAGAGGUGAAAUUCUUGGAUUUACGGAAGACGAACUACUGCGAAAGCAUUUACCAAGGAUGUUUUCAUUAA
This 383-nucleotide ribosomal RNA is filed under the name uncultured eukaryote. RNAcentral's name for it is "partial 18S ribosomal RNA". It matches the Rfam family "Eukaryotic small subunit ribosomal RNA", at positions 592 to 976 of the family's 1831-position model. The record is from RNAcentral.